ACGGAAGGCAGCAGUGGGGAAUAUUGCACAAUGGGGGAAACCCUGAUGCAGCGACGCCGCGUGAGUGAAGAAGUUAUUCGUAAUGUAAAGCUCUAUCAGCAGGGAAGAAAAUGACGGUACCUGACUAAGGAGCCCCGGCUAACUACGUGCCAGCAGCCGCGGUAAUACGUAGGGGGCAAGCGUUAUCCGGAUUUACUGGGUGUAAAGGGAGCGUAGACGGUCUGGCAAGUCUGAUGUGAAAGGCAGGGGCUCAACUCCUGGACUGCAUUGGAAACUGUCAGUCUUGAGUGUCGGAGAGGUAAGCGGAAUUCCUAGUGUAGCGGUGAAAUGCGUAGAUAUUAGGAGGAACACCAGUGGCGAAGGCGGCUUACUGGACGAUAACUGACGUUGAGGCUCGAAAGCGUGGGGAGCAAACAGGAUUAGAUACCCUGGUA
RNAcentral lists this ribosomal RNA (434 nucleotides) under uncultured Lachnospiraceae bacterium. Its description in RNAcentral is "partial 16S ribosomal RNA". It matches the Rfam family "Bacterial small subunit ribosomal RNA", at positions 341 to 792 of the family's 1533-position model. Lineage: Bacteria; Bacillati; Bacillota; Clostridia; Lachnospirales; Lachnospiraceae. The record is from RNAcentral.